UGCCAGCCGCCGCGGUAAUACGAGGGGUCCAAGCGUUGUUCGGAAUUACUGGGCGUAAAGCGGGUGUAGGCGGCCAUGCAAGUCGGAUGUGAAAGCCCUGGGCUCAACCCAGGAAGUGCAUCCGAUACUGCAUGGCUUGAGUACUGGAGAGGAAGGUGGAAUUCCUGGUGUAGUGGUGAAAUACGUAGAUAUCAGGAGGAACAUCGGCGGCGAAGGCGGCCUUCUGGCCAUGUACUGACGCUCAGACCCGAAAGCGUGGGGAGCAAACAGGAUUAGAUA
This 279-nucleotide ribosomal RNA is filed under the name uncultured bacterium. RNAcentral describes it as "partial 16S ribosomal RNA". It matches the Rfam family "Bacterial small subunit ribosomal RNA", at positions 506 to 784 of the family's 1533-position model. The record is from RNAcentral.